Molecule: ribosomal RNA, 465 nt
Filed under: Vreelandella stevensii
Lineage: Bacteria; Pseudomonadati; Pseudomonadota; Gammaproteobacteria; Oceanospirillales; Halomonadaceae
Description: partial 16S ribosomal RNA
Rfam family: Bacterial small subunit ribosomal RNA
Source: RNAcentral
CCUACGGGAGGCUGCAGUGGGGAAUAUUGGACAAUGGGGGCAACCCUGAUCCAGCCAUGCCGCGUGUGUGAAGAAGGCCCUCGGGUUGUAAAGCACUUUCAGUGAGGAAGAACGCCUGGUGGUUAAUACCCAUCAGGAAAGACAUCACUCACAGAAGAAGCACCGGCUAACUCCGUGCCAGCAGCCGCGGUAAUACGGAGGGUGCGAGCGUUAAUCGGAAUUACUGGGCGUAAAGCGCGCGUAGGUGGCUUGAUAAGCCGGUUGUGAAAGCCCCGGGCUCAACCUGGGAACGGCAUCCGGAACUGUCAAGCUAGAGGGCAGGAGAGGAAGGUAGAAUUCCCGGUGUAGCGGUGAAAUGCGUAGAGAUCGGGAGGAAUACCAGUGGCGAAGGCGGCCUUCUGGACUGACACUGACACUGAGGUGCGAAAGCGUGGGUAGCAAACAGGAUUAGAUACCCGGGUAGUC